UCAGGUCCACCCUGAAUGUAUCCAAUCUCAUCUGAUCUUGGAAGCUAUGCAGGGUUGGGCCUGGUUAGUACUUGGAUAAGAGAAAACUCCAGUCCUAAU
RNAcentral lists this ribosomal RNA (99 nucleotides) under Sorex araneus (European shrew). Lineage: Eukaryota; Metazoa; Chordata; Mammalia; Eulipotyphla; Soricidae. The record is from RNAcentral.